RNAcentral lists this ribosomal RNA (468 nucleotides) under uncultured bacterium. RNAcentral describes it as "partial 16S ribosomal RNA". It matches the Rfam family "Bacterial small subunit ribosomal RNA", at positions 28 to 507 of the family's 1533-position model. The record is from RNAcentral.
GACGAACGCUGGCGGCGUGCUUAACACAUGCAAGUCGAACGGAAAGGCCCUGCUUUUGUGGGGUGCUCGAGUGGCGAACGGGUGAGUAACACGUGAGUAACCUGCCCUUGACUUUGGGAUAACUUCAGGAAACUGGGGCUAAUACCGGAUAGGAGCUCCUGCUGCAUGGUGGGGGUUGGAAAGUUUCGGCGGUUGGGGAUGGACUCGCGGCUUAUCAGCUUGUUGGUGGGGUAGUGGCUUACCAAGGCUUUGACGGGUAGCCGGCCUGAGAGGGUGACCGGCCACAUUGGGACUGAGAUACGGCCAAGACUCCUACGGGAGGCAGCAGUGGGGAAUAUUGCACAAUGGGCGGAAGCCUGAUGCAGCAACGCCGCGUGCGGGAUAACGGCCUUCGGGUUGUAAACCGCUUUCGCCUGUGACGAAGCGUGAGUGACGGUAAUGGGUAAAGAAGCACCGGCUAACUACGUG